GACGAACGCUGGCGGCGUGCUUAGCACAUGCAAGUCGAACGGAAAGGCCCUGCUUUUGUGGGGUGCUCGAGUGGCGAACGGGUGAGUAACACGUGAGUAACCUGCCCUUGACUUUGGGAUAACUUCAGGAAACUGGGGCUAAUACCGGAUAGGAGCUCCUGCUGCAUGGUGGGGGUUGGAAAGUUUCGGCGGUUGGGGAUGGACUCGCGGCUUAUCAGCUUGUUGGUGGGGUAGUGGCUUACCAAGGCUUUGACGGGUAGCCGGCCUGAGAGGGUGACCGGCCACAUUGGGACUGAGAUACGGCCCAGACUCCUACGGGAGGCAGCAGUGGGGAAUAUUGCACAAUGGGCGGAAGCCUGAUGCAGCAACGCCGCGUGCGGGAUGACGGCCUUCGGGUUGUAAACCGCUUUCGCCUGUGACGAAGCGUGAGUGACGGUAAUGGGUAAAGAAGCACCGGCUAACUACGUGCCAGCAGCCGCGGUGAUACGUAGGGUGCGAGCGUUGUCCGGAUUUAUUGGGCGUAAAGGGCUCGUAGGUGGUUGAUCGCGUCGGAAGUGUAAUCUUGGGGCUUAACCCUGAGCGUGCUUUCGAUACGGGUUGACUUGAGGAAGGUAGGGGAGAAUGGAAUUCCUGGUGGAGCGGUGGAAUGCGCAGAUAUCAGGAGGAACACCAGUGGCGAAGGCGGUUCUCUGGGCCUUUCCUGACGCUGAGGAGCGAAAGCGUGGGGAGCGAACAGGCUUAGAUACCCUGGUAGUCCACGCUGUAAACGGUGGGUACUAGGUGUGGGGUCCAUUCCACGGGUUCCGUGCCGUAGCUAACGCUUUAAGUACCCCGCCUGGGGAGUACGGCCGCAAGGCUAAAACUCAAAGGAAUUGACGGGGCCCCGCACAAGCGGCGGAGCAUGCGGAUUAAUUCGAUGCAACGCGUAGAACCUUACCUGGGUUUGACAUGGAUCGGGAGUGCUCAGAGAUGGGUGUGCCUCUUUUGGGGUCGGUUCACAGGUGGUGCAUGGCUGUCGUCAGCUCGUGUCGUGAGAUGUUGGGUUAAGUCCCGCAACGAGCGCAACCCUUGUUCACUGUUGCCAGCACGUUAUGGUGGGGACUCAGUGGAGACCGCCGGGGUCAACUCGGAGGAAGGUGGGGAUGACGUCAAGUCAUCAUGCCCCUUAUGUCCAGGGCUUCACGCAUGCUACAAUGGCUGGUACAGAGAGUGGCGAGCCUGUGAGGGUGAGCGAAUCUCGGAAAGCCGGUCUCAGUUCGGAUUGGGGUCUGCAACUCGACCUCAUGAAGUCGGAGUCGCUAGUAAUCGCAGAUCAGCAACGCUGCGGUGAAUACGUUCCUGGGGCU
Molecule: ribosomal RNA, 1346 nt
Filed under: uncultured bacterium
Lineage: Bacteria
Description: partial 16S ribosomal RNA
Rfam family: Bacterial small subunit ribosomal RNA
Source: RNAcentral